This 85-nucleotide transfer RNA is filed under the name bacterium. RNAcentral's name for it is "tRNA-Ser". It matches the Rfam family "tRNA". From Rfam's summary of the family: Transfer RNA (tRNA) molecules are approximately 80 nucleotides in length. Their secondary structure includes four short double-helical elements and three loops (D, anti-codon, and T loops). The record is from RNAcentral.
GGAGAGGUGUCCGAGUGGCUGAAGGAGCACGCUUGGAAAGCGUGUGUAGUGAAUGCUACCGCGGGUUCGAAUCCCGCCCUCUCCG